GGAAAAUGAGAUUAAGUGCUGCUCAUUCCCAGACCCCAUCGUAUGUGCUGCGCUUCAAAGCAGGUGGAAGAUGAUAAAUCACACAAGCAUGGAUACUUAGGAAAAGUGGAAUGAGUUGUGAUCUAGAAGACCAGCUCUGCCACUGACCAGAGAAAAGAAGGACCAAGCAACAAAAAGAAAGUUGUUUACAAAGGAAGCCUGGAACACCACUUUUGAAUCUCCUCAAAGCUAAUGGG
Tachyglossus aculeatus (Australian echidna) is the source of this 236-nucleotide long non-coding RNA. RefSeq lists it as uncharacterized. The record is from RefSeq and is a predicted model, not a curated record. The transcript has 3 exons. Lineage: Eukaryota; Metazoa; Chordata; Mammalia; Monotremata; Tachyglossidae.